This 427-nucleotide ribosomal RNA is filed under the name uncultured bacterium. RNAcentral's name for it is "partial 16S ribosomal RNA". It matches the Rfam family "Bacterial small subunit ribosomal RNA", at positions 355 to 774 of the family's 1533-position model. The record is from RNAcentral.
UGGGGAAUAUUGCACAAUGGGCGCAAGCCUGAUGCAGCCAUGCCGCGUGUAUGAAGAAGGCCUUCGGGUUGUAAAGUACUUUCAGCGGGGAGGAAGGCGAUAAGGUUAAUAACCUUGUCGAUUGACGUUACCCGCAGAAGAAGCACCGGCUAACUCCGUGCCAGCAGCCGCGGGAAUACGGAGGGUGCAAGCGUUAAUCGGAAUUACUGGGCGUAAAGCGCACGCAGGCGGUCUGUCAAGUCGGAUGUGAAAUCCCCGGGCUCAACCUGGGAACUGCAUUCGAAACUGGCAGGCUAGAGUCUUGUAGAGGGGGGUAGAAUUCCAGGUGUAGCGGUGAAAUGCGUAGAGAUCUGGAGGAAUACCGGUGGCGAAGGCGGCCCCCUGGACAAAGACUGACGCUCAGGUGCGAAAGCGUGGGGAGCAAACA